Molecule: ribosomal RNA, 819 nt
Filed under: uncultured eukaryote
Lineage: Eukaryota
Description: SSU rRNA
Rfam family: Eukaryotic small subunit ribosomal RNA
Source: RNAcentral
CGGUGUUUAACUGGCGUGAUGUGGGACGUCCUACCGGUGGGCUUAGCCUCGCGAGGGGCGGCCCAACUAAUAUCCCGUCGCGGUGCUCUUUACUGAGUGUCGAGUCGGGCCGGUACGUUUACUUUGAACAAAUUAGAGUGCUUAAAGCAGGCUAUCCUCGCCUGAAUACUGCGUGCAUGGAAUAAUGGAAUAGGACCUCGGUUCUAUUUUGUUGGUUUUCGGAACCCCGAGGUAAUGAUUAAUAGGGACAGAUGGGGGCAUUCGUAUUGCGACGUUAGAGGUGAAAUUCUUGGAUCGUCGCAAGACGGACAGAAGCGAAAGCAUUUGCCAAAAAUGUUUUCAUUAAUCAAGAACGAAAGUUAGAGGUUCGAAGGCGAUCAGAUACCGCCCUAGUUCUAACCAUAAACGAUGCCAGCUAGCGAUCCGCCGAAGUUCCUCCGAUGACUCGGCGGGCAGCUUCCGGGAAACCAAAGCUUUUGGGUUCCGGGGGAAGUAUGGUUGCAAAGCUGAAACUUAAAGGAACUGACGGAAGGGCACCACCAGGAGUGGAGCCUGCGGCUUAAUUUGACUCAACACGGGAAACCUCACCAGGCCCAGACACCGGAAGGAUUGACAGAUUGAUAGCUCUUUCUUGAUUCGGUGGGUGGUGGUGCAUGGCCGUUCUUAGUUGGUGGAGCGAUUUGUCUGGUUAAUUCCGAUAACGAACGAGACUCUAGCCUGCUAAAUAGGCGUACCUUAUGGUAUCGCGAAGGCCCCCGGCUUCGGCCGGUGGGUUUUUACUACCAACGUACAAACAAAUCUUCUUAGAGGGACAGGCGG